This 2702-nucleotide unclassified non-coding RNA is filed under the name Leishmania donovani. Its description in RNAcentral is "gene:LdHU3.17.0090(CDS-product:mitogen-activated_ protein_kinase_kinase_3_putative)". Lineage: Eukaryota; Euglenozoa; Kinetoplastea; Trypanosomatida; Trypanosomatidae. The record is from RNAcentral.
AAGUGGUUUUGCGUGCAGCUUCAUGCCAGCGAAAGUAUGGACUUCUACGCUUUGCAAGACACGCUCUUGCGCAAUGCCAAGAGCGGGGGCAGCUCUGACACCGUCGACGUCGAGUCGAGGUACGUCUUGAUGGAGAAAAUCGGCUCUGGCUCUUAUGGCGAUGUCUGGAGCGCGACGCGGCGCACAGGGACGAAGGACAUCUACGCGGUGAAGCGCAUCGACAAGCGUCAGGCGGGCACCAAGGGACUGCGGAGCGUCAUGGGGGAAGUGGAGACGAUGAGCCUUCUUUCUCAUCCCAAUAUCGUCAAGCUCGAGGAGACGUAUCAAGACGAAGCGUGCCUAUCAAUUGUGAUGGAGUACCUUCCUGGUGGUUCCCUUCAGCACCGCAUAGACCGGCAAAACGUGUCUGAGCUGGAGACGCGGCGCUUCAUCACGCAGCUGUUGAUGGCUGUGGAGUACAUUCAUGAAAAGGGUAUCGUCCACCGCGAUUUGAAGCCGAGCAACUGCCUACUAUCUCAAAACGACCUCGUCGUAAAGAUAUCAGACUUCGGGCUCUCCGUGUUUGCCGGCAAUAAGCAAUGCUUGACGACGUGCUGUGGCACGCUGCACUUCAUGGCACCCGAGAUUCUGCUAGAGAAGAACUACGGCAAGCCGGUGGACAUGUGGGCCAUGGGCGUCAUGGCACACGUGAUGUUUUUAGGUCGUUACCCAUUUCAGGCCCGUACAGAGGCGGCGCUGACGAAGGACAUCUGCCGCGGGUAUCGUCCGCGGGAGGAGGGUGGUGGUGGGCUGCGAUGCCCACCACUGCUACAAGACUUUAUCAGUCAACUUCUCCUUUACGACCCACUCCGUCGAAUGAGCGCCAAAGACGCUCUCAAGCACCCAUGGAUCAAGGAAGGCUUAGACGCCAACCGGCGGACGUCCCUCUACCCGUCACAGGCACCCUCGGCGACAGCGAUGAAACCAUCUGCGCGGUGGCGAGCAGCGGCGCUUGCAGUCAUGGGCGUGCAGCGGCUUCUCUACCUGCAGAAAAUUCAGCGGCUAGUGCGGCUCGGUUAUGACGGCUUUCCGAUUUUGCGUGACUACCGUUACCUCGUAACCGGCAAGUAUGUACCUGCGAGCACCUCUGUAGAGUGUAGUCACAUGUUCCACGCUCGACCGAUGGCGCUGCUCGAGUUGAUCUCCAUGAUAGAUACGUGCCCGUUCCUGAAACAUGUAGAUCUUAGCUGGAAUAACAUUCACAGCUUAUCUGUAAUCCAGGCGCUGCUCAAGGUGGUGACACGACACCCUUCGCUGCAAUCUAUUGACCUGUCUCACAAUCCCAUCCCGGCCGUGGCAGGGCGUUCCAUCGUGCGGCUGAUCCGCAACCCGCUUUCACAGGUGACAUGCAUCAACGUCGGCGACACCGGAAUCAGUGCCGACACCAUUGGGCAGAUAAACUCCUUUUUAAAGGAGAAGCUGACCCCUGCCGCGCUGUCGUACAGCGUCUCCACCGGAGACAUGCAAAGCCGACUCACCCAGGGUAGUGGCGAUGACACGCUGAUGACGUCAUCGUCCACUACGGUGAGCUCCUUGCAGCAAAAGCGUAGCAUUUGUAGUGGGCCACCCAAGCAGCCCGCGAAGAAAGAAUCGCGCGGCGUGCGGCUGCCCCCGAUUUCACGUCCACCAGUGGCUAGGCGCCAUGGGAAGAUGCCUUAGAUCAUGCGAGAGUAGAACGUGCGAGGACGAGGGGGGCAAACGCUUUCGCAUACGGGCAUGCCAAAUAUUUCUGCCUUCCUCUUAUGCUUGUCCACUUCUCUUAAGGUAUGUCGCUCUUCUUUUCCCUCCUCUCGCUCCCCAACACGUGUCGUCAUGCACAGUGUGACAGAGUGGCUCCCUUGAUUUGUUGCUCCUGCCUAUGUGUUUAUAUGGACGCAUCUCGAUGCCUCUUCUCUGCGCCUCCUGUUCCGAUGUCCGAUGAAGCGCGUCGGUUUCCAUACGCGUUACGACAUUGUCUGCACACUCCGUUGUACUUUCCCGUUUCCUUGUCCUCUUUGAGGGAAUGGUGCGCAGCGCCGCGGGUCUCUUUUUGUUCUUCUUAGCGCCUCUUGUAUUUUCGGCGCAGAAGCGUGCGUCAUCGCUGUUCUGACCCUCUCUCGCUUUCAUCUCCCCUCCCUCAUUCACCACUGAUGUUAUCCAGCACGGCGAUGACUGUGACGUGACAUGCGUGCCCGUUCGUUUUCUACUUCUUUGCACUUGCUUGUCGACCUCCUCUUUCUGUCCGCUUCUCUCUCGGUCUCUCGUGCCCGUCCCUGUUUCGCCUAGCGGCCGCCGCACGGACGCCAUGACAUCCCCUUCCGUCCUCCUCGUUUUUCUUUUCUGCUUCGUGUGAAACGCGUGCCUCAUUUUGGUUUCUUCUUUCCCGUCUACUACUUUUCUGUUUCCCUUGGUAGGACGACGAGCGACGAGACCCCGCCCCUUUCUUGUUUGCACGAGGUCGCAGAAGAGGGGACGUGCGGAGUGCGGGAAAGGGGGAGGGGAGAGCACAGGAGGACAAGACGACUCUCGCCGUCGCGAUAAUGUAAUCAUGUACAUGACGAGCGAGUAAUAUUGACUUCAUGAGCUGCUGCAGUGUGUUGGCUUUCUUUUUCCCCUCCCUCCUUUUCUUUGCCACUCUGUUCUCUGGUGAAGUUACUCAUACACAACAAGUCGUGUUUUAUGCG